UACGGGGGGGGCAAGCGUUGUUCGGAAUUACUGGGCGUAAAGGGCUCGUAGGCGGCCAACUAAGUCAGACGUGAAAUCCCUCGGCUUAACCGGGGAACUGCGUCUGAUACUGGAUGGCUUGAGAUUGGGAGGGGGAUGCGGAAUUCCAGGUGUAGCGGUGAAAUGCGUAGAUAUCUGGAGGAACACCGGUGGCGAAGGCGGCAUCCUGGACCAACACUGACGCUGAGGAGCGAAAGCCAGGGGAGCAAACGGG
This 253-nucleotide ribosomal RNA is filed under the name uncultured bacterium. Its description in RNAcentral is "partial 16S ribosomal RNA". It matches the Rfam family "Bacterial small subunit ribosomal RNA", at positions 524 to 776 of the family's 1533-position model. The record is from RNAcentral.